UCCUACGGGGCGCAGCAGUGGGGAAUAUUGCACAAUGGGGGAAACCCUGAUGCAGCGACGCCGCGUGAGUGAAGAAGUAUUUCGGUAUGUAAAGCUCUAUCAGCAGGGAAGAAACCCACCCUUUGGGGUGGCUGACGGUACCUGACUAAGAAGCCCCGGCUAACUACGUGCCAGCAGCCGCGGUAAUACGUAGGGGGCGAGCGUUAUCCGGAUUUAUUGGGCGUAAAGGGUGUGCAGGCGGUAUGUUAAGUCUAAAAUCAAAGCCCGAGGCUUAACCUCGGUUCGUUUUAGAAACUGGCAAACUA
RNAcentral lists this ribosomal RNA (305 nucleotides) under uncultured bacterium. RNAcentral describes it as "bacterial SSU rRNA". It matches the Rfam family "Bacterial small subunit ribosomal RNA", at positions 337 to 643 of the family's 1533-position model. The record is from RNAcentral.